CCUUUUGCCUUUUUGUGUCAAAAGUUGUGGGCAGCUGUCGAUCCAACGUAUAUCAAAAUACAGCUUUCCCAUUAUGUACAUUAAAACAAAAUCCCAAAUUUUACACAUUUUGUAUGUAAUUUUUUAUAUCGACUCAAUUUUCUUCAUUUUUUUUCUGUCUCAAAUUUUAGAAUAUAGUAGUAAACUGUAUACUCAAAUUUUCUACUUAAUGGGAAGAACGGCUUCUUCCGUUCAUAAAACAC
Molecule: long non-coding RNA, 242 nt
Filed under: Mytilus galloprovincialis (Mediterranean mussel)
Lineage: Eukaryota; Metazoa; Mollusca; Bivalvia; Mytilida; Mytilidae
Source: RNAcentral